RNAcentral lists this ribosomal RNA (375 nucleotides) under uncultured bacterium. RNAcentral's name for it is "bacterial SSU rRNA". It matches the Rfam family "Bacterial small subunit ribosomal RNA", at positions 28 to 396 of the family's 1533-position model. The record is from RNAcentral.
GACGAACGCUGGCGGCGUGCUUAACACAUGCAAGUCGAGCGGGAUCCAACCGGUGGCAACACCGGGGAAGAUCUAGCGGCGAACGGGUGAGUAACACGUGAGCAACCUGCCCCGAAGACUGGGAUAACACCGGGAAACCGGUGCUAAUACCGGAUGUCGUCAUUAGGCCGCAUGACCUGAUGAUGAAAGGAUUCAUCGCUUCGGGAGGGGCUCGCGGGCUAUCAGCUUGNGGUGGGGUAACGGCCUACCAAGGCGACGACGGCUAGCUGGUCUGAGAGGACGACCAGCCACACUGGGACUGAGACACGGCCCAGACUCCUACGGGAGGCAGCAGUGGGAAUCUUGCGCAAUGGGCGAAAGCCUGACGCAGCAACG